Molecule: transfer-messenger RNA, 408 nt
Filed under: Bacteroidales
Lineage: Bacteria; Pseudomonadati; Bacteroidota; Bacteroidia
Also listed under: 1 other name
Description: Bacteroides_D sp002749065 Standard tmRNA
Rfam family: transfer-messenger RNA
About the family: Bacterial tmRNA, also known as 10Sa RNA or SsrA, is named for its dual tRNA and mRNA-like properties.
Source: RNAcentral
GGGGCUGACUUUGGUUUUGACAGCAAGCCGAAUGAGUUUGUAAGCAUGCCGAGCAUCGUGCGCUACGCUCGUUACGAAUUAGCGCGCAACAAAAAGCAAGUGGCGACAACAACAACUUCGCUCUCGCUGCCUAGUCAUUGCUAAGCAAGACGGGCUUAAUCUCCACGCAGGAGUCGUGGCGACGAGAUGUCUCCCGGGUAGCACCGCCCUGUUGCGACCCGACCCGAGGCACCGGAAAUAUAGGGCUAGCUCUGGGUGGCCUCGCGCCCUGGGCGAAACUUUAGAGGAUACGGCGAUGGUUGGUGGCUAAGCGCCUGCCAUGGCCCGACAAUCAAGCCUUAGCUAAGCAUGUAGAAGGCAGGCUGGUUCCUUGUAUGGACGCGGGUUCGAUUCCCGCCAGCUCCACAG